CGCCGUACAACAAACAAACAAUGUUUUUGUCCAUAUUCUUUAAAAAACAUGUUUUUGACAACAAAUUUCAGUAAAUAUGAUGCCACACUAUAAUAAUCUAAAAACGUGUCUGGAAAAAUAAUGAAAAACAGUUCAAUAUCUUGAGAAUGGGGCGACAGAGGACGAUCGACCUCGAAAUUUUCCGGUACUAAGUGGCAAGUUUUGGAGUAUUACACACAAUCUUGUAUUAAUUUUGUACUUAUCUGCCUAAUAAUUUAAAGAAUUAUAUAUCAGAAAAUCAUUUCUUAAGCGGCACCCUCAUCCAAUGAGUGGAAAUGCUUUAAAUUGAAUGAAUUCUUAACUUGUUUACUUUUUUUUCUAUUUUUCUCCGCUUCGUUAGUACCCAAUUUCCGGUGGC
Molecule: long non-coding RNA, 397 nt
Filed under: Mytilus galloprovincialis (Mediterranean mussel)
Lineage: Eukaryota; Metazoa; Mollusca; Bivalvia; Mytilida; Mytilidae
Source: RNAcentral